Molecule: unclassified non-coding RNA, 161 nt
Filed under: Candidatus Kentrum sp. LPFa
Lineage: Bacteria; Pseudomonadati; Pseudomonadota; Gammaproteobacteria
Source: RNAcentral
GGGAGCCGGAUGGGCAGGAAAGCCGCUUGUCCGGUUCUGAGAGGGGGCGGCUAUCAACUGUCGUCAUGGGUGAGAUAUUGUGGCACCGCCGGGAAACCAGGCGGCAAACGGAGAAAAAAAACUUUACCCUAUCGCGCUGGAAGUGCCUGUCCUACUCAAAA